RNAcentral lists this ribosomal RNA (2061 nucleotides) under Triticum aestivum (bread wheat). RNAcentral's name for it is "partial small subunit ribosomal RNA". The record is from RNAcentral. Lineage: Eukaryota; Viridiplantae; Streptophyta; Magnoliopsida; Poales; Poaceae.
AUGGGCGCCAAGGACAAGGCGCAGGCCCCGCCCCCCGCCGCCGUGCCGGACCAGGCGUACCUGGAGGCGGUGACGGGGAAGCGUGACCGCCUGUUCGAGCAGAUACUGGACAGGCAGGCCCGCCGGCACGCCGAAAACGGCGGCAGUCCCAUCAAGAUUACUUUGCAUGAUGGCACGGUCCAGGAGGGGAAGAAGUGGAUGUCGACCCCGAUGGACAUCGCCAAGGAGAUAUCAAGCGGGCUAGCAGCUCGCUGUUUGAUAGCUCAAGUGAACGGAGGACUGUGGGACAUGACAAGGCCGCUGGAAGACGACUGCCAACUGAACUUGCUAACCUUCGAUAGCAAAGAAGGGCGGGACACUCUAUGGCACUCGAGUGCCCACAUUCUUGGAGAGGCUCUCGAGCGUGUGUACGGCUGCAAACUGUGCAUCGGGCCUUGUACUACGAGAGGGGAAGGUUUCUACUAUGACGCCUACUACGACAACAAUGUCACGCUGAAUGGCUCGCAUUUCGGUCACAUUGAAGACCGGGCUCGAAGAGCGGUCGCCGAAAAGCAGCCAUUCCAACGUAUUGAGGUCUCCAGGGAUGAAGCCCUCGAGUUUUUCGCUGAGAAUAAAUUUAAGGUUGAAAUCAUCAAUGAAUUGCCUGAGCACAAGCCCAUUACGUUACAUAAAUGUGGCCCUUUGGUUGACCUAUGCCGCGGACCGCACAUCCCGAAUACUUCUUUCGUUAAAGCUUUUGCUUGCCUCAAGGCUUCGUCCUCAUAUUGGAGGGGAAAAGCAGACCGUGAGAGCCUGCAGAGAGUAUAUGGGAUUUCUUUCCCUGAUGCUAAACUUCUCAAGGAAUAUCAACGUAUGAUGGAGGAGGCUGCGAGGCGUGAUCACAGGUUAUUGGGGGAGUCCCAGAAACUCUUCUUUUUCGAUUCGCUUAGCCCAGGAAGUUGCUUCUUCCUUCCACAUGGUACAAAAAUAGUUAACAAAUUGAAGGCUUUUUUGCGACAACAAUACAGGGACAGAGGCUACCAAGAGGUUGAGAGUCCAAAUGUUCUCAAGAUGAAGCUUUGGGAAACAUCUGGGCAUAGUGCGAACUACAAGGAGAACAUGUUUCUUUUUGAGAUCGAUGGAGAGGAGUUUGGUCUUAAGCCAAUGAAUUGCCCUGGGCAUUGCAUAAUAUUUAAGCACGAGACUCGUUCUUACAAAGAGUUGCCACUGCGCAUUGCUGAUUUUGGAGUUCUUCACAGAAAUGAGGCUAGUGGAGCACUUUCAGGCUUGACACGCGUUAGAAGAUUCCAACAGGAUGAUGCCCAUAUUUUUUGCAGAGAGAGCCAAAUCAAAGAGGAAGUUAAGAGUGUCUUGGAAUUCAUUAAUUAUGUCUACGGCAUAUUUGGAUUUAACUACGAGUUGGAGUUAUCAACGAGACCAGAGAAGUAUUUAGGUGAUAUUGAAACCUGGAACAAAGCAGAACAACAACUGGCAGAAGCCUUGGAUGAGUUUGGGAAGCCAUGGGAGAUUAAUGAAGGAGAUGGUGCUUUCUAUGGCCCAAAAAUUGAUAUCGGUGUGUUUGAUGCCCUCAAAAGAAAAUUUCAGUGUGCAACACUUCAGCUGGAUUUUGCGCUGCCUGUUCGCUUCAAGCUGACUUAUGCAGCAGAGGAGGAAGCCAAGCUUGAGAGGCCUGUAAUCAUACAUAGGGCAAUACUAGGAUCGGUUGAAAGGAUGUUUGCCAUUCUUUUGGAGCAUUACUGUGGUAAAUGGCCGUUAUGGCUCAGCCCUCGUCAAGCCAUUGUUUGCUCUAUAUCGUCCGAUUCACUAGAAUAUGCAAAACAGGUUCAUGCUAAGAUACAUAACGCUGGAUAUGAUGUUGAAAUCGACAUGACUGAUAAGAAAAUCCAGAAGAAGGUAUGCGUGGCACAGUUAGCCCAGUUCAACUAUAUUCUUGCCGUGGGCCCAACAGAGGUGGAAUCUGAAAUGGUCAGCGUCAGGUUGAGAGAUAAGCCAGAAUUCUUCCCGAUGAGCGUCGAUGAUCUCAUCUCUCUGUUUAGGGACGAAGUAGCGGCCUACAGAUAG